Molecule: long non-coding RNA, 617 nt
Organism: Silurus meridionalis
Lineage: Eukaryota; Metazoa; Chordata; Actinopteri; Siluriformes; Siluridae
Exons: 2
Source: RefSeq, a predicted model, not a curated record
UAACGUUACGCGCAGGCCUUUGUUGUAAGUUCCGCUUGAAACAGGAAGUCGCUCUAUUAACCUCGGGACUCCUCUCACGCUGCACGUGUGCGCCGAAGAUACUGACCGAGCGAGACGCUUUAUUACACUUAUUCGAGCUCAAAAUGAGAGAAAUGGCUCAUAUUUCGUGCACGGGUUGUGCUUUUGAGGAAAGAUUUGGAGACGCGAACCUCGGCUCAGAUUAUAUUCCUGGUACGACCUGACACGCGGAUGUAGCGCCUUUGUAGCAUGUGGGCACGAGCACAUUGUAUGUGUUCAUAGUUUACCACAUUUUUCAUUCAUGUUCUGCUUUAUGUUGCAAAAUUAAUUUUGCUGCUGAAAUUGACGGAACUUCCUAGAGACAGGGAACAUCAAGCCUGAAAAGGACCCUCUGGAAAAGAAACGAAGCUUGGAGUGAAUUAAAUGAAGACCUCUAGUAUGACUAACCUCAACCAGAUUAAAUACAUGACGAACAGCUAUGUUUAGAAAGCAUAAUGUGCCUAAAUAUGCUUUCCCCCAUCUUUCGGGGUAAAUCUAUCAUACUAAAAUGUAUAGUGAGAUUAAUCUGAUGCUUUCACAAUAAACCAUGAUGACCACAA